This 5393-nucleotide long non-coding RNA is filed under the name Homo sapiens (human). RNAcentral's name for it is "long non-coding RNA NONHSAT079595.2". The record is from RNAcentral. Lineage: Eukaryota; Metazoa; Chordata; Mammalia; Primates; Hominidae.
GCUGUUCAUAUGACAUACUUUAUUUCCAAUCUACAACCAUUAAAAACGCUUUAUAAGUUUACACUGUACAGUUAUUCUCAUGUCUGAAAUAAGACACAGGGGCAGGGAGAGCUGGUGGAUUGGACUGCAGUUGUCCUAGCACCCGAUCCAUCCUAGGAAGGAGCCUUUUGAAGACAGAAGUGGAAAGGAGAGAAUAGUGGACAAGAGAGGUGGACAGUUGGCCCAAGGAUGCCCUUGGUCCCUUCCCUCCCAUGGGCCUUGCCCUGGGGGUCCCCCAGGGCCCAUGACUGCAGGACCCUCACCAGGAAACCAGGCUGAGUGGGAAGGGGGUUCACAGUAUUGGCGGGGGCUGGGGAGGGGCCAGGAUGAGGAGGAAGGGCAGCUUCUGGCUCUCUUCCCAGCUGCUGGGGGUUGGAGCUGUUUUUUGGCACUGUCUACAAGGUAUCCCUGGGGUUGGGAGGAGGAGGAACUGGGGAUUUAGGAUGCUUUCUUUGUGGAGUUAAGAUUUCUUUCAGUUUGAAGAGGCGCUAUCUGGCCUAUGGUGAGGUUCCCAAGGGAGAAACAGUCAGGGUCUUCUGCCUCCUGCCUCCCCAGGACUCCCACCCCCUCCCUGGCUGGCACCAUCCACACAGCCUUUUGUAAAACCAAGACAAGUGAGAGAGGUGAGCAGGAGCAGGGAAACAAACAAUGUGUGCUUUCUCCAGGCCCUUCAACUUCUCUUCCUCUUCCAAGAGGAGCGACUAUAGGGUUGGUUUUUGUUGGUGGUGGUUCCCAAUCUCAGGAGUCCAGAUAAGGCUGGUGUUUUCCACCUGUUCUUGGCCUAGCCAGUCCCAGUCCCUCCCCAGGCUCUACUAAUGGCUAGCCCAGAUCAGCAGUUGGCAUAUUCUUAUGCGUCAGAAUCAUUUGGAGGGCUCCUUAAAACCCCAGCUUGUAGGGCCCCACUCCACAAGCUCUAAUUCAGUGGGUCUUGGGUGGGGCUGCUAAUCUGCACUUCUAUCAAGUUCCCAGGUGAUAUUCCUGCUGCUGGAAUGCAAUACAAGAACCACUGGCUGAGAAUGGUGCCCGCAGUCACCUCAUUCUGAGCAGCCUGGUGUCUCCUGGGCAGCACUAAGGAGCUGGGCCACAGCUGGCAAAGCCCAGCCUUGGGGCACCACAUCACCUGGGAAGCUGCUGGAAAUGGUCUUGGGGUGAGUCCCCCGUGCAGAGAAGUAAACUAAGGCACAGAGAUCAGUGGCAGAGCUGAGAGAGGAGCCAGGAUACCAGGGCCCAGUAGAGAAAGGAUGGGGCUGCAGGACCCUACAGCAUGAGGGGUGCUCUAGGGACCACAGGGCCAUCCUGGUGCUCAUCACAGGAUCACAAGACUGGGAAGGUAGGAGAAGUGAAGACAUCUGCCCAGACCUGGGCCAGGUUUCCAGAUUGCCAGCUGAGGUCCCUCUUCUUGGGAAUGGUUUGAGUGGCUUCCAAAUAAAGAGUGACAAGGCAGCCAGCCCUGACUGCCUCAGCCCUUCAAAGAUGUUUAGAGAAAACCAAAGGUCCCUUCCUCAGGGCAUGGUGUCCAGAAAGCUGGUGAAGGGCAGGAAGGGAGGGGAGCAGGGCCGUUGGGAUAGACAAGCAGCAGAGGAGGCUCCAAGGAGGGUGAGGAAGGAGUGGCAGGGCUGGCAUUGGAGAGAAGCCCUGAGCAGGAGACUUGGGCCCAGCAUCAUGUCCUCAGUCCCCUCAGGACUUGGGUCUGUAUAUUUUGCAAACUGCAAAUGCUGUUGGGUUGGGAGGGGUAAGGCAUAGAGUUGGGGUGAACUGUAGAUUCUGCCAGGACAAGCAGCUCUGAGAGUGGUGAGGUCCAGAGGAGAAUGGAGAGGAUGGUUGGAUACUGAAUGGACAAAGAGAUGGAUCAAUGACCAGAGACAGGGAGAGAAGAACCUGUCAGGCAGCACCUGCUUUACAGUCAAGGCCAUCUGGGCCUGGGCAGGGCAGGGGAGGAAAAAGGAGGGAUCCAAGCCCCCCCCACCCACCACCACACACACGCCCAUUGCAAAGUGCUGGGGCUGCUGCUGGCAGGCUGCUUACAGAGAAGACAGUGUGGCUUAAGGGUGGCACCGGGGGGUUGCUGGGGCAGGGUGAGCCCAGUGAGAAGGGCUGGCAGGGCUGGUGCCUCCUGAUGCAUUGGAGGAAGAGGCUUUUUUUUGUGUGUGUGAGAAAACACAAAAUAAAUAAACACAGAACCAGGACACCACCACAUUUGAGAGCAAAUAUCAGAGUUGGGAAACCACAGACGCGGACAGGAAGGCUUCCCUGGUAGGAAGCAGGGGGACAAGAAGCCAGUUACUGAGGUUACGGGAAAAUCCGCACGAGGCAGCAGUGCUGGGAAGAACAUCCUGGGAGGACUGAGGGCUGAAUACUAUAGUGAGCUCCGGACCCAGAAGAGGAAAACCUGGCAUGGACCAGGGCCACUCCAUUUGCUGGCAGGAACCAGCCAAGGAGAAGAGGAGGCAGGAGGACAAGAGGCUUUGGAGGGAGAUGAUAAAGAAAGAAUGGCCCCACGUCCAGAGGCUUCUGCAGGAACAGUGAUGAGUGGCCUUGCACAGUGGCAUGCAGGAAGUAGAAACUGGGGCUUUACUGAAAACCAAGGUCUGGCUGAGACAACAAAGAUGGCAAGGACAAUCCUGGACGGUACGAUGGUAAGGCUGAGUGGUCCGUAGGUCUUGGGGCUCAGGUCCCACGGGGAUUUCUCCCCGAGGCUGAGUACGCAGCCUCCCUGGCUGUCGCUCUGGGAGGUGGCAGAAGGCCUCUGGUGGCUUGUGGCCUGAUGUGAAUCCCCUCACCUGGAGAUAACCUUGGAGGGCCCCCCUGACCUCAUGGGUGAGAGCAGCAGCAUCCAAGAGCGGAACUGGCCCACAGCUCCACUGGCUGCCUGCUCUGCCCACACCAGUCACUGGGGCAUGGAGGAGGCGGCUGGCGGGACUGGCAUGACCCUGGUGUUCAGCCUGCAGGGAAGGGAGAUGCAGGACUUGGGGUAACUGGUCCAGGUGAUCCCGAAUGGGUGGGUCUGGGAACUGGCAGGUGGGAGGUGGGAGUGCAGGGGCGCCUCCAGAGUCCUGGGGGCAGAUCAGCAAAGCUACUGGCUUUUGGUCUUCCUGAUGGGCAAUUCUGCAGACAAGCUGAUCCAUCCUGGUGUUUCCACUCUGGGUCCCCAGUCAGUUACAGGAAGGCUGAUGUCUAUGUGUGUGUGGGGAGCAUGUGUGCAACCAAAAGGGGUUCACCGGCACCAAGGCGAGGCCAUGGGAGGCGCUGCCCCACAUGCUGCAAUGAGCCACAUCGAAAUCCAACCAAUGGCUCAGGCAGCUCACAGGGGACGUGAGGAAGGGCGGGCAGCAGAGCUGGGGCAGGGAGAAGAGCCGUGAAAGGCCAUAAGGCUAAGGAGAGAGGCUGGUGAAAAGGCUGGCAGGCUGGUGAGAACCGAGGCAGGCUGGGAGACACUCAGGUUUAUGUGCAAAGCUGCGAUAAACAACAUUCUCAAAGUUCAGUCCUGUUUUCCUGUGAGUUCUCAUUUGGGAAACUUGGAGGGAUCUCCACACUCUUAAUAGAGCUUUAGUAAUCCACGUUCGACUCAUGAAGAAAGGUGUCAGAGGGAGGGAGGGAAAUGAGACAGGCAAUGGAGAACGUCUGGGGAGUGGUGAUGGCCGUCCAGCCCUCCACCUUGUCAGUGAGUAUUUAUAGACUGACCGCUGGGGCUGGCCAAGUACCAGGCAUUGAGUAAUAAGUAGUGUUCUGAGGCCACAUGGCCAGCCGUGUUGGGGUGCAGGGCUCCAGCUCUGUUGAGGGGCCCUCCAAAGCUGACCAGGAGGCCAGGUCUCCAAACCUGGCUGCCAAGCGGCCUCGUCCACCCAGGGGACCCCAUGCCUGCCCGUGCUGUUAGAGGCCUCAUGUUGUCCCAGUGGCAAGAAUGCAUGUUUCAACCUCCAAUAAAUUACCUUAGGGACUUUGGGGUAAAUUAAAUUAUUAAAAUAAAGUAAACCACCUUAAAUAUUUAUAGUAGGAAAAAUUCAAAUAAACAAUCUAGGCAAGAUACGUGUUUCCAGGCCCCAGUCUACUGCUGUGUCCUGGGCUCUGGCCUCUUGGUGUUCUCCUGGGCCUGACCUGGCCAACCAAGAAUCUCUUACUGGGAAUAUCUUUGCCCCCCGACCAGCUGCAGGAUGUAAACACAGUGGAGAUGUAGUGCCUGCUGCCUCUCAGGGUGCCAGGGAAAGAGGCCUCUGAGAUCACUUGAGAUCAAGGCAGUGUAUUUAGGCAUUUAUCUAUGCACCAGGUCUUGAGACUGACUCUACCUAUUUCUGUCCUCAAGGGGUCUGCUGGGAACGUUGGGGCCCCAAGUCACUUUGGCAAGGAAGGCAAUUGCAAUCACUCCCCAACCCUGAGCCCUGCAUGUUUCCACUUCGCCUCCCAGCUCUUGCUGCAUCCAGGCUAUGGGCAGGGAGAUCCAGGGCUCCAGGACACUAAGCAAUGGCCCUGGCUACUGCCCUAUCAUACUCCCUAGUGUCCCAGCAAUCUAGAGCAGUGGGGCUGGGAGGAGGAGGUGGUGGAGAGAAGGAGGUGAUGGUGAUGAUGCCCAACAGGGCUCCACCAGGAACCAAACAUGGAGCCCUAGAGCAAAGCCUGUUCUUCUCAGCAGUGUCUCCUCCCAAAUGAAGGGGUGGAUGGUCAGCAGGAAACAUCUCUCCGACUCCUUUUCCCCAAAGGCAUGGCCAGACAUGUAUCCUUCUUGGGCUCUUCCAAGAGGGUGGCAUGGGCAGAACCAGGCAAGGCUCUCUCUUAGGACCCAGGGAUCGGCUCUUGACAGAUCUCUCAGUGGAUGCUUGGGAAGCCCAGGUUUGGUCUCUCUCCCACUCACUGCCUUCCCCUGGGAAGUCGAAGCUCACCACCCAGGGGCCAGCAGGAGACCCGGCUUUACCUUGAUGUGAAAGCUGCAUUCUGGCAGUGGCAUCACUGCUGUCCCUCCAGGGCCAGGCAAUGCUGAGGACACAGCCCCUCGCCUCACCUCGUCUCGUCUCUGCUGGUUCCCUUCUGCUAUCCAGGGGCUGGGCUGGUUGAGGCGGGGAGCUUGGCUGCUCUGUCACUCGCUGGGGGGGAGUGCCCUCUCCUCCCCACCCCAGCUGGACUCUGAAGGGUGCAGCCUGCACUUGGAAGGAGAGUGGCGGAUGGCAGAGCGGGACGAUCGGGCGAAGCAGGAGGUGAGAGACUGGGUACUACAGUCACAAACAGCGUCCUAGGAAGAGGGAGGCAGGGAGGCAGGAAGUCAAGAGGAGCCAGGAGACAUGGACCACCAUGAGCUGUGUGGUAUGCCAGGCAAGGAACUGAGACUCGGCCAUAAACCAGUUCCCAGGGGCUGAAGCUCCUCA